CUGGCAAUCACUGCUAAAGCUACGGUAAUACUGGGAGAGUAUCUGACACACACACACACACACACACACACACACACACACACACACACACACACACACACACACACACACACACACACACACACACACACACACACACACACACACACACA
Long non-coding RNA from Portunus trituberculatus (swimming crab), 152 nucleotides. RefSeq lists it as uncharacterized. The transcript is spliced from 2 exons. The record is from RefSeq and is a predicted model, not a curated record. Lineage: Eukaryota; Metazoa; Arthropoda; Malacostraca; Decapoda; Portunidae.